Molecule: long non-coding RNA, 558 nt
Filed under: Manihot esculenta (cassava)
Lineage: Eukaryota; Viridiplantae; Streptophyta; Magnoliopsida; Malpighiales; Euphorbiaceae
Description: long non-coding RNA (MESC_LNC011545)
Source: RNAcentral
GACAUCCACAGCAACCCAUCAUUUGUCCCCACCGCAUUCCGCUACUGUUUCUCCCUCUUCUUACCGGCAAGAUUUAAUUUCCUCCAAAGGUUAAGGUUAGUGUUUAUGCUUUGAUUUCCUCUAACUUGAGGUUGCUUUACAAGUUGCACGGAGAAAAUUGUGCGCUCCAUGUCUAUAUUUAGAAAGGUGACACAUUGCUUUUGUUGUUGGUUUACUUAAUUUUAAUUAUAAAUCUAUGCUCAAAUUAGUUCUUAAUCUGUAAAUGGCUUGCAAAAUGAAUUAUAUAUUCAUAUUUGGAGAACGUUUAUUAGAGUCAAUAUAAUUGUGGCAUCUGCAGAUGAUAUUCGAUCAUGGAUGAUUUGGGGUUACUCUAUGGUCAUCCUAUGAUAUAUGGACAAAAUGCUUCUCCUUUGUAUAGGUAUAUUUAUUUCUCAAAUUUCUGAUUAGUUUAUUUUAUUGGUAUAUUUAUUUAUUUAGAAUGUUGAAACUUGAGAAAAUUAUUUUCUUUGCAGGAAUUCAGGCAUCGAGGUUCAUUUUCUUAUCAAGAAUUCUUUGAGC